RNAcentral lists this ribosomal RNA (614 nucleotides) under Lodderomyces parapsilosis. RNAcentral describes it as "LSU rRNA". It matches the Rfam family "Eukaryotic large subunit ribosomal RNA", at positions 37 to 667 of the family's 3401-position model. The record is from RNAcentral. Lineage: Eukaryota; Fungi; Ascomycota; Pichiomycetes; Serinales; Debaryomycetaceae.
UGCAUAUCAAUAAGCGGAGGAAAAGAAACCAACAGGGAUUGCCUUAGUAGCGGCGAGUGAAGCGGCAAAAGCUCAAAUUUGAAAUCUGGCACUUUCAGUGUCCGAGUUGUAAUUUGAAGAAGGUAUCUUUGGGUCUGGCUCUUGUCUAUGUUUCUUGGAACAGAACGUCACAGAGGGUGAGAAUCCCGUGCGAUGAGAUGUCCCAGACCUAUGUAAAGUUCCUUCGAAGAGUCGAGUUGUUUGGGAAUGCAGCUCUAAGUGGGUGGUAAAUUCCAUCUAAAGCUAAAUAUUGGCGAGAGACCGAUAGCGAACAAGUACAGUGAUGGAAAGAUGAAAAGAACUUUGAAAAGAGAGUGAAAAAGUACGUGAAAUUGUUGAAAGGGAAGGGCUUGAGAUCAGACUUGGUAUUUUGUAUGUUACUCUCUCGGGGGUGGCCUCUACAGUUUACCGGGCCAGCAUCAGUUUGAGCGGUAGGAUAAGUGCAAAGAAAUGUGGCACUGCUUCGGUAGUGUGUUAUAGUCUUUGUCGAUACUGCCAGCUUAGACUGAGGACUGCGGCUUCGGCCUAGGAUGUUGGCAUAAUGAUCUUAAGUCGCCCGUCUUGAAACACGGACC